AUACCGCCGCUAUUCAACAAGGAUGGAAGCUGUCCGUUGGAGGAAAAGUAUCUGCCCAGUAUAUCCGUAUAUUUCCGUUCCGUCCGUCCAGUAUUCGAUGACAAAACGGAAUGUCAUUUUUUUACGGAACGAUAUUUUUUACUGUAUACAGAAUACCGUGCCAUGUGUGAAGUCGCUCAUACAACUAC
Maniola jurtina (meadow brown) is the source of this 188-nucleotide long non-coding RNA. RefSeq lists it as uncharacterized. Lineage: Eukaryota; Metazoa; Arthropoda; Insecta; Lepidoptera; Nymphalidae. The record is from RefSeq and is a predicted model, not a curated record. The transcript has 2 exons.